Molecule: ribosomal RNA, 460 nt
Filed under: uncultured bacterium
Lineage: Bacteria
Description: bacterial SSU rRNA
Rfam family: Bacterial small subunit ribosomal RNA
Source: RNAcentral
AUUGAACGCUGGCGGCAUGCCUUACACAUGCAAGUCGAGCGGCAGCACGGCAAUAGCAAUAUUGUGGGUGGCGAGCGGCGGACGGGUGAGGAAUGCAUCGGGGAUCUACCCUGUCGUGGGGGACAACGUAGGGAAACUUACGCUAAUACCGCAUGAUCUGGAGACAGCAAAAGCCGGGGACCUUCGGGCCUGGCGCGAUGGGAUGAGCCGAUGUCCGAUUAGCUAGUUGGCGGGGUAAAGGCCCACCAAGGCGACGAUCGGUAGCUGGUCUGAGAGGACGACCAGCCACACUGGAACUGAGACACGGUCCAGACUCCUACGGGAGGCAGCAGUGGGGAAUAUUGGACAAUGGGGGCGAACCCUGAUCCAGCCAUGCCGCGUGGGUGAAGAAGGUCUUCGGGUUGUAAAGACCCUUUUGUGCGGAAGAAAAGUACGUCGGUGAACAAUCCGGCGAUGCUGA